RNAcentral lists this unclassified non-coding RNA (400 nucleotides) under Hevea brasiliensis (rubber tree). Lineage: Eukaryota; Viridiplantae; Streptophyta; Magnoliopsida; Malpighiales; Euphorbiaceae. The record is from RNAcentral.
AUAAAUAGUUAAUCAAAGGACUUGCAAUAAAUCAUAUAACUAUCUAAAAAUAAUGGAGUUAACUUUUAAAUCUUCUAUUAAGUUUUGAAAGGGGAAUGAAAAAGAAAAUAGAACCUUGUCACUGCUUGUUUCUCAGUAUAUUGUAUAUGAAAUCUAAAUUAGGUAGUUUUUUUCCUUAUCACGCGAGGAAAAAGAUUAUACUUAGAAAACAAAAAGGGCAGAAAAUGGCCAUUACAAUAUGAAAGAUUUUCCAAUUCUCAAGAUUAACUUUCUAAAUAAAUGAUCGCUAUAACAUUCAGCAUUUCAAUAAAAUGUUGAGGACUCAGACACAGACCCACAACUUCUUUUACUAGCAUCAAAGGAAAAGAACGAAAAAAGAGGACAAAACAAAAUAAAAUUA